RNAcentral lists this unclassified non-coding RNA (407 nucleotides) under plant metagenome. Its description in RNAcentral is "partial contains 5.8S ribosomal RNA, internal transcribed spacer 2, and large subunit ribosomal RNA". It matches the Rfam family "Bacterial small subunit ribosomal RNA", at positions 358 to 777 of the family's 1533-position model. The record is from RNAcentral.
GGAAUAUUGCACAAUGGGCGAAAGCCUGAUGCAGCGACGCCACGUGAGGGAUGACGGCCUUCGGGUUGUAAACCUCUUUCAGCAGGGAAGAAGCGCAAGUGACGGUACCUGCAGAAGAAGCGCCGGCUAACUACGUGCCAGCAGCCGCGGUAAUACGUAGGGCGCAAGCGUUGUCCGGAAUUAUUGGGCGUAAAGAGCUCGUAGGCGGUCUGUCGCGUCUGGUGUGAAAUCCCAUGGCUCAACUGUGGGCUGGCAUCGGGUACGGGCAGACUAGAGUGCUGUAGGGGAGACUGGAAUUCCUGGUGUAGCGGUGGAAUGCGCAGAUAUCAGGAGGAACACCGAUGGCGAAGGCAGGUCUCUGGGCAGUUACUGACGCUGAGGAGCGAAAGCAUGGGGAGCGAACAGGA